Molecule: RNA transcript, 2108 nt
Organism: Vigna radiata var. radiata (mung bean)
Lineage: Eukaryota; Viridiplantae; Streptophyta; Magnoliopsida; Fabales; Fabaceae
Exons: 3
Source: RefSeq, a predicted model, not a curated record
UAAUUGUUAAUAAAUUAGCAAAAGGCUUACAUAUAUAUUCGUUUUCUUUUCAAAUUCACCUUUUUUUUUUUUCAUGUUAUUAUUAAAAUACAAUUUAAUCAUAACGGACUAAAUUGUAUUUAAUCAUACAUGUUUUAGACCAAAAAUAAUGUGAAAAUAGAAGCUACUUUUACAUACUUUUUUUAAAGUUUCUUAACAUUUAGGGGUAACUUGAAACUGUCAUUCGUUUUUAGUAACCAGACAAACCAUUUUACCAUUAGAUGGUAACAAGAUGAAUGAUCAAUUUGACCUUUAAAUAUGUAAAUCUUGGAAUUGGUCCCUAAAAUUUACAAUUUAAUCUCAGUUUGAUCCUAAAUAGAAUACAAUUCAGAUACAUAGGUCCAUUCAAUUCUAUUAGGAUAGAUUCUAUAGACAUCCACUUAUAUUUAUAUAUAUUAUAAUUUGGUGAUAUAUAUUGUGGAUGUGAUUUCUCUCACAUUAAGCUAUAAUAUUCAGAUAAAACCAGUUGCCUCUUAUGCAUUCAAUUACAAAAUCAGAUUUUUCUUUCAUUCAAAUUCUAUAUUAACUCACAUUUAGGCACCCAGUUGGCUGUUUUCUUGUACAUGUUGGAAUGGCUAAUAUCGUAAACAGUAAAUGGUCAUUUUCUCCCUUGAAUGUGUAAAUUGGAUAAUUGAGUUGAGAUCCAGAAUGGAAAUUCUAAUUCAAUCCAUAAUCCAUAAAUAUAUGAAAAAAGCAAAGAUUAUGUCCUGCCAUGAAGUUUUUUCGGUCUAUUUUGUCAUUAACUUGUAAGGUUUAAGGACCAAUUUAAAGUAGUAAAAUUUAGAGACUAAUUUGUUAUUCAGUUAUACAGUAAAAAUUAAUUAUAGUACUUUUCACACCUUCGAGAAAUAAAUAAGAACUUUUAUCAAAUCAUCUCCAAUUUACAUAUUGAGAUAGUACAGUUGUCAUUUUUCAUGUUUUAAAAUAUAAUUUUACAUCGUUAUGACCCCAAAAGUUGUCAUGCUUGUUAGUUCUGCAUUUUGUUGAUCCACUUACAUAUAUGUUAAUGCACAUCAUUUAACCUGCUCUAAAGUAUAAUUGCACAGCAUCAUGACUCCUACAGUUGUCAUGCACAUUUGUUUUGCUUGUGCAUUUUGUUAAUUCAAAUCAGUGUCUUUUGACAUGUAUGUUAAUGCACAUCAGUAGAACCACUUGUACUGUUUUUGUUAAAUACGGUUUUUUUAUCACAGUUUCAUAUUAAUGUCACAUGACUUUUAUUCAAACUUUCAUUCAGAUAACUUCACAUGACUAGCUACUUUAUUUAUGUGGCGGUAACACACGAAAAUAGUAAAUGGACUCUGUUGUUUGUUACUUAAAACUAAGUUUAAUAAUGGUAAAAACUCUGCAUAUUGCCCACUCUAACACUACGCUCCUUUAUUACAAGGACCGUUUAAUCAAAGGAGAUUCUCUGCAGAAAGUCUGGUCUAUAUUUGUCUUUAGGGCUAGGCAUUGGACCAGUAAAAAUUUAACACUAUCUCAUCCAACAGAUUGCGUAAACCAUGGCAACUUGGUGCUCUGGAGUUUCAGAUUGAAUCCAUUCUGAAUCUGUUGCAGACAGUCUUAUCCUGUAUUUCUAAUAAUUUGAUUCCACUGCUUUCAAAAAUCGAGAAUUCUAACCAUUGGGCCUAGGUAAAAUAUGCCUGGUCGAAUUUGAUGUUAUACAAACUUGUCCUUCCUAUUUCCAAUGUGCAUAGAUAUGCUGAAUUCAAGCUCCAAUAUGGGGAAGACACAGGAAUGGAAUAAUUUCCCCUCAGUUAUCUAUGAAAGCAAGGCCGAUUAUGUUGCAGAUGCAAUUAAACACUAAAUGUAGUUAUAUUUUCUAUUGCAAUUUAAACCUUAAUUCUUGACAUUGUGAAAUAAAAGAGUAACCAUUUUCUGUAAAGACCGAACUUCGUAUGGACAUUUGAGAAUAACUGCAUUUUGAGAGAUUGUUAAAAACAGUUAAAUAAAAGAAAGAUCAGAUCAUUACCUGCAAAGACACAUGUAAGAAGGACCAAACUUGUCAAACUCUCAACUUAACUUCUAAACACUUCCAAGUUUACGGUUUAUUUAGAAAGGGAUUAAAGAAA